AUUGAACGCUGGCGGCAUGCCUUACACAUGCAAGUCGAACGGCAGCAUGAUCUAGCUUGCUAGAUUGAUGGCGAGUGGCGAACGGGUGAGUAAUACAUCGGAACGUGCCCUGUAGUGGGGGAUAACUAGUCGAAAGAUUAGCUAAUACCGCAUACGACCUGAGGGUGAAAGUGGGGGACCGCAAGGCCUCAUGCUAUAGGAGCGGCCGAUGUCUGAUUAGCUAGUUGGUGGGGUAAAGGCCCACCAAGGCGACGAUCAGUAGCUGGUCUGAGAGGACGAUCAGCCACACUGGGACUGGGACACGGCCCAGACUCCUACGGGAGGCAGCAGUGGGGAAUUUUGGACAGUGGGGGCAACCCUGAUCCAGCAAUGCCGCGUGUGUGAAGAAGGCCUUCGGGUUGUAAAGCACUUUUGUCCGGAAAGAAAUCGCACUUACUAAUAUUAGGUGUGGAUGACGGUACCGGAAGAAUAAGGACCGGCUAACUACGUGCCAGCAGCCGCCGUAA
This 506-nucleotide ribosomal RNA is filed under the name uncultured bacterium. RNAcentral's name for it is "partial 16S ribosomal RNA". It matches the Rfam family "Bacterial small subunit ribosomal RNA", at positions 30 to 523 of the family's 1533-position model. The record is from RNAcentral.